AUGCUCCCGGGAUAGUCAUAAUUCAUGGUAGCCGAAGUGAGUUCCCGAAGAGACCGGUUGGCAUUCUCAACUUCUUGUUCUCGUAACCGGAGGGUGAUCCCCUCUUGGAUUCUCGCCUCAAUGUGGGCUUCAAUCUCCUCGUCCGUCAUACAGCCACCCAUGACGGUGUCUCCUGUGAGACUAACCUGAAAGUGUGACACUCAAACAGAGAAAGAUUAGUAGCACCAAUUCUAG
RNAcentral lists this long non-coding RNA (234 nucleotides) under Lotus japonicus. Its description in RNAcentral is "long non-coding RNA (LJAP_LNC000735)". The record is from RNAcentral. Lineage: Eukaryota; Viridiplantae; Streptophyta; Magnoliopsida; Fabales; Fabaceae.